RNAcentral lists this ribosomal RNA (253 nucleotides) under uncultured bacterium. Its description in RNAcentral is "partial 16S ribosomal RNA". It matches the Rfam family "Bacterial small subunit ribosomal RNA", at positions 524 to 776 of the family's 1533-position model. The record is from RNAcentral.
UACGUAGGGGGCAAGCGUUAUCCGGAUUUACUGGGUGUAAAGGGAGCGUAGACGGUAUGGCAAGUCUGAUGUGAAAACCCGGGGCUCAACUCCGGGACUGCAUUGGAAACUGUCGGACUAGAGUGUCGGAGAGGCAAGUGGAAUUCCUAGUGUAGCGGUGAAAUGCGUAGAUAUUAGGAGGAACACCAGUGGCGAAGGCGGCUUGCUGGACGAUGACUGACGUUGAGGCUCGAAAGCGUGGGGAGCAAACAGG